UGGGGAAUUUUGGACAAUGGGGGAAACCCUGAUCCAGCCAUCCCGCGUGUGCGAUGAAGGCCUUCGGGUUGUAAAGCACUUUUGGCAGGAAAGAAACGUCAUGGGUUAAUACCCCGUGAAACUGACGGUACCUGCAGAAUAAGCACCGGCUCACUACGUGCCAGCAGCCGCGGUAAUACGUAGGGUGCAAGCGUUAAUCGGAAUUACUGGGCGUAAAGCGUGCGCAUGCGGUUCGGAAAGAAAGAUGUGAAAUCCCAGAGCUCAACUUUGGAACUGCAUUUUUAACUACCGGGCUAGAGUGUGUCAGAGGGAGGUGGAAUUCCGCGUGUAGCAGUGAAAUGCGUAGAUAUGCGGAGGAACACCGAUGGCGAAGGCAGCCUCCUGGGAUAACACUGACGCUCAUGAACGAAAGCGUGGGGAGCAAACAGG
RNAcentral lists this ribosomal RNA (429 nucleotides) under Acidobacteriota bacterium. Its description in RNAcentral is "Acidobacteria bacterium partial 16S ribosomal RNA". It matches the Rfam family "Bacterial small subunit ribosomal RNA", at positions 355 to 776 of the family's 1533-position model. Lineage: Bacteria; Pseudomonadati; Acidobacteriota. The record is from RNAcentral.